Triplophysa rosa is the source of this 72-nucleotide non-coding RNA. The record is from the annotation of a RefSeq genome assembly. Lineage: Eukaryota; Metazoa; Chordata; Actinopteri; Cypriniformes; Nemacheilidae.
GGCUCGUUGGUCUAGGGGUAUGAUUCUUGCUUCGGAUGCGAGAGGUCCCGGGUUCAAAUCCCGGACGAGCCC